This is a non-coding RNA of Podarcis lilfordi (Lilford's wall lizard), 582 nucleotides long. The record is from the annotation of a GenBank genome assembly. Lineage: Eukaryota; Metazoa; Chordata; Lepidosauria; Squamata; Lacertidae.
CACCUCCCUUGUUCUUUUUUAUAAUGGCAAUGGCACCCACCUCAAUUCUGGAAAGUUCACACAGGGGGGAAAGCUGUGUUUCUCACUACCUCAACAACAAUUCUCAAGUCCCUCCUGGCCAGGCCUCACUUGAGGCCCAGAGCACCAUGGUGCCCCUCAAUGUGAUCUCCCACCACAGCCUAUCGCAAUUUUAUUUAAAACUUCAGUGCACUUAAUCAAAGGGACACUUGCAGCCUAAUCCAUUUUGUUUUAAAAUCCAAUCAAUUAUCUUGGUCCUUUUAAAACAGGCCAAAUGUCUGCAAUAUCAGGUUGCUCAGCUUGGGUUUUUUCUAAUAGCCUUAGGAGGUAUGUGUGUGUGGUAAAAAAAACCUUUGAUUUUUUUAAAAAAAGCAUUUGUCGUUUGCUUCUCCCCCUCGCAGAAGUGUUUGUGGUGAGAUUGUUCCAAAAUUAAAGAGCUAUGGACAAUGGGUUUUCAUAUAAAAACCAAGAAGGCAGCCUAUCCACCUUCUUCUUUAGCGCUUUUGAAUUUAUGAGUGGACACUGAUAGGGAAUUGAAAAAUAAAGAACUUAUUUCACAUCGCC